GCGAGGGUUGCCCAGAGGUCAAAGGCGAUGGGCUUAGGACCCAUUUUCGUAGGAAUUCGUGCGUUCGAAUCGCACCCCUCGCA
RNAcentral lists this transfer RNA (83 nucleotides) under Methanosarcina sp. MTP4. RNAcentral's name for it is "tRNA-Leu (TAG) (tRNA-Leu-TAG-1-1)". It matches the Rfam family "tRNA". From Rfam's summary of the family: Transfer RNA (tRNA) molecules are approximately 80 nucleotides in length. Their secondary structure includes four short double-helical elements and three loops (D, anti-codon, and T loops). Lineage: Archaea; Methanobacteriati; Methanobacteriota; Methanomicrobia; Methanosarcinales; Methanosarcinaceae. RNAcentral also lists the same sequence under 3 other names. The record is from Rfam by way of RNAcentral.